Molecule: ribosomal RNA, 460 nt
Filed under: uncultured bacterium
Lineage: Bacteria
Description: partial 16S ribosomal RNA
Rfam family: Bacterial small subunit ribosomal RNA
Source: RNAcentral
CCUACGGGAGGCAGCAGUGAGGAAUAUUGGUCAAUGGACGAGAGUCUGAACCAGCCAAGUAGCGUGAAGGAUGACUGCCCUAUGGGUUGUAAACUUCUUUUAUAUGGGAAUAAAAUGUUCCACGUGUGGGAUUUUGUAGGUACCAUAUGAAAAAGGAUCGGCUAACUCCGUGCCAGCAGCCGCGGUAAUACGGAGGAUCCGAGCGUUAUCCGGAUUUAUUGGGUUUAAAGGGAGCGUAGGUGGAUUGUUAAGUCAGUUGUGAAAGUUUGCGGCUCAACCGUAAAAUUGCAGUUGAAACUGGCAGUCUUGAGUACAGUAGAGGUGGGCGGAAUUCGUGGUGUAGCGGUGAAAUGCUUAGAUAUCACGAAGAACUCCGAUUGCGAAGGCAGUUCACUGGACUGCAACUGACACUGAGGCUCGAAAGUGUGGGUAUCAAACAGGAUUAGAUACCCGAGUAGUC